CCAAUAGGUCGGUGGAAUAUCCCGAGCGAAAAGAGUCCUGAUCUGGCUCCAGAGGGGGGCGGGCGCCCAGGCUACCAGGGCGGGCGCCCUGGGCCUGGCCCUGUUUCGCCUCCGCUUCGGUCUCGUGGCUUCUGGAGUCUUCUAGAUGAUGUAAAAUCGUGCGGUGCGUUGAUAUCUCUAUGUAAUCCCGACAUGUGGGCCUUUCUUCCUUAUUUCCUGAUAACCCCCUGCAGAAAUAGAUAAACAACAAAACUCGUGGAAUUCUGUCAGAUCAAACUCUAAUUCUAGGUGUUGGUUGCAUAUUGGUCCUUUCUCUUGUUU
RNAcentral lists this long non-coding RNA (321 nucleotides) under Sorghum bicolor (sorghum). RNAcentral's name for it is "long non-coding RNA (SBIC_LNC012980)". Lineage: Eukaryota; Viridiplantae; Streptophyta; Magnoliopsida; Poales; Poaceae. The record is from RNAcentral.